UACAGAGGGUGCGGGCGUUAAUCGGAAUUACUGGGCGUAAAGCGCACGUAGGUGGCGACGUAAGUCGGGUGUGAAAGCCCCGGGCUCAACCUGGGAAUUGCAUUCGAGACUGUGUCGCUGGAGUACGGAAGAGGAAGGCGGAAUUCCCGGUGUAGCGGUGAAAUGCGUAGAUAUCGGGAGGAACAUCAGUGGCGAAGGCGGCCUUCUGGUCCAGUACUGACACUCAAGUGCGAAAGCGUGGGGAGCAAACAGG
Molecule: ribosomal RNA, 253 nt
Filed under: uncultured bacterium
Lineage: Bacteria
Description: partial 16S ribosomal RNA
Rfam family: Bacterial small subunit ribosomal RNA
Source: RNAcentral